AAGGAAAAAAAAAGAAAUGCAAAUGGACGAUAUAAAAUACCCAUGUCCCAAAACCCUGAUAUGUAAAAACAGCUCUGGCUUGAAGAAAACAAACCCAGACAUAAUCAAGAAGGAUGAGCGGCACAUCUAGAAGGAGGAAAACAAUGGGCGGCCCAAACAAGAUAGUAUAAAGCAAAGUUUGUAACAAGAUGUUGGAAAUGCAAAUAAUAUAAAGGAGGGUUUGUAAUAGCUUUUUCACAAAGUCAAGCUAAAAAGAUGUACAAUGAAAGAGUGAAAAUCAAGAAGAUGAAGACUUGUGACAUUUGUGUUGAGUGUUGGCAGGACAAUGUAUUGGCAUAUGGAUUGGUGUCUUGACGGUGUAUUGAUGUGUGGCAUGCCAAAUAAGAAAUACUAAAUUAUUUUGGUGUAA
Molecule: non-coding RNA, 409 nt
Organism: Cicer arietinum (chickpea)
Lineage: Eukaryota; Viridiplantae; Streptophyta; Magnoliopsida; Fabales; Fabaceae
Source: RefSeq, a predicted model, not a curated record